RNAcentral lists this ribosomal RNA (253 nucleotides) under uncultured bacterium. RNAcentral's name for it is "partial 16S ribosomal RNA". It matches the Rfam family "Bacterial small subunit ribosomal RNA", at positions 524 to 776 of the family's 1533-position model. The record is from RNAcentral.
UACGUAGGGUGCGAGCGUUAAUCGGAAUUACUGGGCGUAAAGCGUGCGUAGGCGGUUCGUUAUGUCCGUUGUGAAAGCCCCGGGCUCAACCUGGGAAUGGCAAUGGAAACUGGCGGGCUUGAGUAUGGCAGAGGGGGGUGGAAUUCCGCGUGUAGCAGUGAAAUGCGUAGAGAUGCGGAGGAACACCGAUGGCGAAGGCAGCCCCCUGGGUUAACACUGACGCUCAUGCACGAAAGCGUGGGGAGCAAACAGG